Molecule: ribosomal RNA, 468 nt
Filed under: uncultured bacterium
Lineage: Bacteria
Description: partial 16S ribosomal RNA
Rfam family: Bacterial small subunit ribosomal RNA
Source: RNAcentral
GACGAACGCUGGCGGCGUGCUUAGCACAUGCAAGUCGAACGGAAAGGCCCUGCUUUUGUGGCGUGCUCGAGUGGCGAACGGGUGAGUAACACGUGAGUAACCUGCCCUUGACUUUGGGAUAACUUCAGGAAACUGGGGCUAAUACCGGAUAGGAGCUCCUGCUGCAUGGUGGGGGUUGGAAAGUUUCGGCGGUUGGGGAUGGACUCGCGGCUUAUCAGCUUGUUGGUGGGGUAGUGGCUUACCAAGGCUUUGACGGGUAGCCGGCCUGAGAGGGUGACCGGCCACAUUGGGACUGAGAUACGGCCCAGACUCCUACGGGAGGCAGCAGUGGGGAAUAUUGCACAAUGGGCGGAAGCCUGAUGCAGCAACGCCGCGUGCGGGAUGACGGCCUUCGGGUUGUAAACCGCUUUCGCCUGUGACGAAGCGUGAGUGACGGUAAUGGGUAAAGAAGCACCGGCUAACUACGUG